Molecule: non-coding RNA, 516 nt
Organism: Leopardus geoffroyi (Geoffroy's cat)
Lineage: Eukaryota; Metazoa; Chordata; Mammalia; Carnivora; Felidae
Source: the annotation of a RefSeq genome assembly
AUGACGUCACUGAGCACAGCUGAUCCCCCGGUUUCAGAUCAGAGCAGGAGAAUUUUCACCCUGCAAGAGAGAGCCGCCAGCAUGGUUUGCUCUGGUUUGCUGUGGGUAUUUGUGGUUUCCACCUAUCUUGGAUCCAGCAUGGCCCAGAAGGUCACCCAGACUCAACCAGAAAUGUCUGUGCAUGAGGCAGAGACUGUGACCCUGGACUGCACGUUUGACACUAGUGACAGUAAUUAUUAUUUGUUCUGGUACAAGCAGCCUCCCAGCAGGGAGAUGGUUCUCAUUAUUCGCCAAGAAGCUUAUAAGCAAGAGAAUGCAACAAAUAAUCGCUUCUCUGUGAACUUCCAGAAGGCAGACAAAUCCUUCAGUCUCAGGAUCUCAGCCGCCCAGCUGGAGGAUGCUGCGAUGUAUUUGUGUGCUCUCAUGGAGGGCACAGUGACAGGAGCAACAGAGGGAGAUUUACAGAAACCUCAGACCUCAGCAUCUGUGCAGAGGUCGGGGGAAGGGGGAGGGUGA